This is a long non-coding RNA of Adelges cooleyi (spruce gall adelgid), 837 nucleotides long. RefSeq lists it as uncharacterized. The record is from RefSeq and is a predicted model, not a curated record. The transcript is spliced from 2 exons. NCBI's taxonomy places the organism in Eukaryota, Metazoa, Arthropoda, Insecta, Hemiptera, Adelgidae.
UCAGAAUUUGUUUCAUCAUCAAAUCUAUCCUAUUAUCUAUUGCGAAUUAAAAAUCCAUUUCAAAUGUAUUGAAAAUUUGCGUGUUCGGUUGAGGUAAAUAAGUACAAAACCAAAAGCUUUUAGUUUUUUCGAUCUUUGUAGUGGUACACUUUAACAUUAAUUAAAUGCGUAGGCAUUUGUCAGCACUCCGAGACAGAUAAACCGACUGUUUGCACUUGUGGGUUACUGAGGUCAACUUGAUUCUAUGUGUGUAUUAAAAUAUAUCCAUGACUCAGGAGAAACCUACAUAAUAUAAAUAGGCGUAGAUACCGCCGAACAAGUCAUUCGAAGCAAAUACAAGUAUUAAUAUUGUAAAGUCGUUUCUCACACCGUUCCGUCGCCAUGAAUUCUAAGUACGCGGUUUUGGUAUGUUUUUUGGUUUUGGCGUUCGCUUUCAACGGCGUGAACGCUUAUUGUAACCCGGAUGAUUGUUGGGGUCUAUGCCGUAGCCAGUACAGUGGGUCGUUCUCAGAAAUUCGAGGAGUAUGCGAAUCUUCCAACAAUGACUAUUGUCGGUGUUAUGGUAAAUUCUUUAAUCCAGUAAUCCUAAUGCCUGUGAAUCCCGAGAAAAAGCUCAAUUGAAAAAUGCUCAAGACAUCGUCUUAAACAUCUACAUCAGUUCAACGAUAAAACUUCAAAAAUAAUGUCAAAAUUUCAAAACAUUGCAAAGUAGUAACUCUUUUGUAAUACUAUUUAUGUUAGCUUUUAUGUGUUAUACAUUAAAGGCAACUAAAUAAAUGUAUGUGUAGAUAACAAAUAUAGAUUUUUACAAUAAACUUAAAAUAUUAUAACUGAAAA